Molecule: ribosomal RNA, 477 nt
Filed under: uncultured bacterium
Lineage: Bacteria
Description: partial 16S ribosomal RNA
Rfam family: Bacterial small subunit ribosomal RNA
Source: RNAcentral
GACGAACGCUGGCGGCGUGCUUAACACAUGCAAGUCGAACGGUAAGGCCCUUCGGGGUACACGAGUGGCGAACGGGUGAGUAACACGUGGGUGAUCUGCCCUGCACUUCGGGAUAAGCCUGGGAAACUGGGUCUAAUACCGGGUAGGACCACUGCCUGCAUGGGUGGUGGUGGAAAGCUGUUGCGGUGUGGGAUGGGCCCGCGGCCUAUCAGCUUGUUGGUGGGGUGAUGGCCUACCGAGGCGACGACGGGGAGCCGGCCUGAGAGGGUGGUCGGCCACACUGGGACUGAGAUACGGCCCAGACUCCUACGGGAGGCAGCAGUGGGGAAUAUUGCACAAUGGCGCAAGCCUGAUGCAGCGACGCCGCGUGAGGGAUGACGGCCUUCGGGUUGUAAACCUCUUUCAGCACCGACGAAGCGCAAGUGACGGUAGGUGCAGAAGAAGGACCGGCCAACUACGUGCCAGCAGCCGCGGUAA